This 88-nucleotide non-coding RNA is filed under the name Bacillus sp. (in: firmicutes). Its description in RNAcentral is "Bacillus sp. c-di-GMP sequence". It matches the Rfam family "c-di-GMP-I riboswitch aptamer". Rfam says of the family: GEMM was predicted in a large-scale screen for bacterial structured RNA regulatory elements. Genes associated with GEMM are involved in a diverse array of functions, including chemotaxis regulation, signal transduction, secretion and chitin. RNAcentral also lists the same sequence under 1 other name. Lineage: Bacteria; Bacillati; Bacillota; Bacilli; Caryophanales; Bacillaceae. The record is from RNAcentral.
ACUCGAUAAAGGCAAAACUGAUGAAAAUCAGUGACGCAAAACUAAAGGGGCUAAGGUGCUUUAAGAACUAUGCCAGCCAGUUACCGAA